This 206-nucleotide ribosomal RNA is filed under the name uncultured bacterium. Its description in RNAcentral is "partial 16S ribosomal RNA". It matches the Rfam family "Bacterial small subunit ribosomal RNA", at positions 568 to 774 of the family's 1533-position model. The record is from RNAcentral.
AGUGCAGGCGGUUUUUUAAGUCUGAUGUGAAAGCCUUCGGCUUAACCGAAGAAAUGCAUUGGAAACUGGGAAACUUGAGUGCAGAAGAGGAGAGUGGAACUCCAUGUGUAGCGGUGAAAUGCGUAGAUAUAUGGAAGAACAUCAGUGGCGAAGGCGGCUCUCUGGCCUGUAACUGACGCUGAGGCUGAAAGCGUGGGUAGCAAACA